Molecule: long non-coding RNA, 1218 nt
Filed under: Daucus carota (carrot)
Lineage: Eukaryota; Viridiplantae; Streptophyta; Magnoliopsida; Apiales; Apiaceae
Description: long non-coding RNA (DCAR_LNC000611)
Source: RNAcentral
GGGAUUUUUAGAACACUGACUAUAAUGUAUUAAAAAGAUAAUGUUUUAGAAAAUUGUAAACCCAUGAAUAAAGUUAAGAUGAAUUUAAUAAUAGUGGAAUGAUCACCACAUAUCGUAUUUGGGAGAAGGAGAGUAUCUUACCGUUUUGGUUUAGGGGAAUUGAUCAAGCCAGAGGAUGGGAGAAAGGGGAGGGCGAAAAAGGUCAGCGGUGGUGACAUGGUUGCAGAUUUGGGUUGAAAAAGAAAAGAUGAUUUAUUCAUUUAUGAAAAGUAAAAUAUGGGUGACAAAAUCAAGUGAUGAUUGAUAAUUAUGAAUGAGACACCGUCUUUGAGUCUUCAAAUUAAAGCAAAUGACAUCCAUAAUUUAGGUUUUCUUAUGUGAUGGAUUUUUUUACGUACUCAUAUUGAUUCGAAUAUAUUAAAUGUACUCAGACGAAUGCCCUAGGUGAAAAUGAGUUCAGAUAUGAUCUUGAGUCCUGACAAUUUUAUUAAAAGAAUUUAACAAUUGUACUACUUUUUUGACAUUAUUAUUGCAAAAAUAUUAUAACUUUCAGAUCAUUGCAAAUAUACGACUUCUAAAAAAAGAUUUAAAAAUUUGCAUUUUUAUGUAUAAGGCUUACGAAUUAGAAGCUAGAGGAAUGAGGUUUGAGUCGGGUUUUCUGAAAUUAGUUNCCCCCCCCCCCCCCCCCCCCUCUCUCGGACGCUUAAUUGAGCAUCUUUUUCUAAUUAAUUUGCCUUUUGUUAUCCUUUUAAUAAGACAGGGAUCAGAAGUAAGAUCUACUAAUUGCUUCGGAGUUUAUGACGAUGACGGACCACAUUGGAGUUGACAGCGCCGAAGUUGAUGGUGAUGACGGAGAUGUCGUAGCAUAUGGAGAUGGAGAGUUGGAUGCUUCUGAUGUUGGUGGAGGAGUGGUGGUAGGUGGAGGCGACGACGCGACGUUGAGUUAGUGGAUGUGAUGAUUUUUGUGAGACAGAUGCUAGUAGUGAUGGAGGUGAAGUUGCUGGAAGUUGCAGCUCUUUAUUGUUGUUUUUAAUUGGUUGCUUUUAGUUAAUUUUAUGGUUGUUUUUAAUUCAUUGUUGUAUUAGUAUUGGCCUCGUAGGGGCACUCAUACUCAUUUUUCAUCCGUUGCGAUCACUUGCAACUUAUUACGCAAAUAAUUAUAAUCUUUAACAGAUUAUUUUAAAAGUUGCAUUUUUGGUUGCAUAUAGGUUGCUAGCA